RNAcentral lists this long non-coding RNA (999 nucleotides) under Anser brachyrhynchus (Pink-footed goose). RNAcentral's name for it is "lncRNA (ENSABRG00000007451.1)". The record is from RNAcentral. Lineage: Eukaryota; Metazoa; Chordata; Aves; Anseriformes; Anatidae.
UACAAGUUGAAUAUUUUUUUGAUUAUAUAAAUACCAUAGGGUAAUUAAGGGCCAGAUGCAUGCCUGGUGGGAAUGACUAGUUGCGGUAUUCCUACCCCCCCCCAAGUUGAACCUUUUAUUACUGCUCUGUGGAGAGUGAACAAAACUAUGAUUAAAACUGUGAUGCUGUGGCUGGUUGUCUGCUUCUCAGCAGCUGCAGCAGGGAAAGGUGAUGAGAAGUUUAUCAGAGGGGGCCCUCCCGUGCUCUGUGCCCAGGGCCUGUUUGCUUCUUGUGCGGGUCGUCUCCAACACACUGCGAGCGGGAGCAAAUCGCUGCUCCUGGAGCAGGAGGCACAGGUACACUUGAAAUAAAACAGAAGUAUUGCGCCGAGGAGUUCCGAGACAGAAGGCCAAGCAUUUCUGCUGCAGUACAUACUAUGGAUGCCAUCAGAAGGUUGAAAUAUGGAAAGCACCAACAUACUCACCAUCCUGGCAUCUGAAGGCCUUUACUGUCCUCGUGUCACAUUGCAAAUAGACACUGUCUAGGCCCUGAGUAUUCCACCAGGCUCUGCAGCAUCUUUGCCUCCCUGGGAUUUUGGCUGCUGAUGUGCAAGAUCAGCACUGGCGUGGUGCAGGUGAGUUUGGACGUGCCUCAUCACUAUGGACUUGUCUCACGUCCAAGGAACUUUAGGCUGACACUUUUUAUCAUCACCCAACUCACUCUGCCCUUCUUUCUUGGGUACAAUGGGACUGCACCAGGUUGGGAGGACACUGCCCUGCUGUCUAGGUGAUGGCCUGUGACUCCCAGCUCGUCUUUGCAGAUCAACCCACUGAAACAUGGCAAGAUUCUGUAAUUAUACUAAAAUAGACCAAUAUUUUCUCAAGAAAUUUACUAGUCUUUUGAAAUGUUGCUCUGUGCAUCAAAUCCAUGUAUAAAAGAAAUGGUAAAUCAAUUAUUUCAACCUAGAAAGUUUUUUUUUUCUAUAGUCUACAUGCUAAUAGUCAACUGCAGACUGCCUA